AGUGAACGCUGGCGGUAGGCCUAACACAUUCAAGUCGAACGGCAGCACAGUAAGAGCUUGCUCUUACGGGUGGCGAGUGGCGGACGGGUGAGGAGUACAUCGGAAUCUACUUUUUCGUGGGGGAUAACGUAGGGAAACUUACGCUAAUACCGCAUACGACCUACGGGUGAAAGCAGGGGAUCUUCGGACCUUGCGCGAUUGAAUGAGCCGAUGUCGGAUUAGCUAGUUGGCGGGGUAAAGGCCCACCAAGGCGACGAUCCGUAGCUGGUCUGAGAGGAUGAUCAGCCACACUGGAACUGGGACACGGUCCAGACUCCUACGGGAGGCAGCAGUGGGGAAUAUUGGACAAUGGGCGCAAGCCUGAUCCAGCCAUACCGCGUGGGUGAAGAAGGCCUUCGGGUUGUAAAGCCCUUUUGUUGGGAAAGAAAAGCAGCAGGUUAAUACCCCGCUGUUCUGACGGUACCCAAAGAAUAAGCACCGGCUAACUUCGUG
RNAcentral lists this ribosomal RNA (492 nucleotides) under uncultured bacterium. Its description in RNAcentral is "partial 16S ribosomal RNA". It matches the Rfam family "Bacterial small subunit ribosomal RNA", at positions 29 to 507 of the family's 1533-position model. The record is from RNAcentral.